UUUUAUUUGAGAGUUUGAUCCUGGCUCAGGAUGAACGCUGGCGGCGUGCCUAACACAUGCAAGUUGAGCGAUUUACUUCGGUAAAGAGCGGCGGACGGGUGAGUAACGCGUGGGUAACCUACCCUGUACACACGGAUAACAUACCGAAAGGUAUGCUAAUACGGGAUAAUAUAUUUGAGAGGCAUCUCUUGAAUAUCAAAGGUGAGCCAGUACAGGAUGGACCCGCGUCUGAUUAGCUAGUUGGUAAGGUAACGGCUUACCAAGGCGACGAUCAGUAGCCGACCUGAGAGGGUGAUCGGCCACAUUGGAACUGAGACACGGUCCAAACUCCUACGGGAGGCAGCAGUGGGGAAUAUUGCACAAUGGGCGAAAGCCUGAUGCAGCAACGCCGCGUGAGUGAUGAAGGCCUUCGGGUCGUAAAA
This 422-nucleotide ribosomal RNA is filed under the name Clostridioides difficile. RNAcentral's name for it is "bacterial SSU rRNA". It matches the Rfam family "Bacterial small subunit ribosomal RNA", at positions 1 to 430 of the family's 1533-position model. Lineage: Bacteria; Bacillati; Bacillota; Clostridia; Peptostreptococcales; Peptostreptococcaceae. The record is from RNAcentral.